GGGUGCAAACGUUGCUCGGAAUUAUUGGGCGUAAAGCGCGCGUAGGCGGUUAUUCAAGUCGGAUGUGAAAGCCCUCGGCUUAACUGAGGAAGUGCACCCGAAACUGAGUAGCUAGAGUACCAAAGAGGGUCGCGGAAUUCCCGGUGUAGAGGUGAAAUUCGUAGAUAUCGGGAGGAACACCGGUGGCGAAGGCGGGUCUCUGGGCCGAUACUGACGCUGAGGAGCGAAGGCGUGGGGAGCGAACAGG
Molecule: ribosomal RNA, 247 nt
Filed under: uncultured bacterium
Lineage: Bacteria
Description: partial 16S ribosomal RNA
Rfam family: Bacterial small subunit ribosomal RNA
Source: RNAcentral